Molecule: ribosomal RNA, 253 nt
Filed under: uncultured bacterium
Lineage: Bacteria
Description: partial 16S ribosomal RNA
Rfam family: Bacterial small subunit ribosomal RNA
Source: RNAcentral
UACGUAGGGAGCAAGCGUUGUCCGGAAUUAUUGGGCGUAAAGAGCGUGUAGGCGGUCCGGUAAGUCGGCUGUGAAAGUCCAGGGCUCAACCCUGGGAUGCCGGUCGAUACUGCCGGACUAGAGUUCGGAAGAGGAGAGUGGAAUUCCUGGUGUAGCGGUGAAAUGCGCAGAUAUCAGGAAGAACACCAAUGGCGAAAGCAGCUCUCUGGGACGGUACUGACGCUGAGACGCGAAAGCGUGGGGAGCGAACAGG